RNAcentral lists this ribosomal RNA (1468 nucleotides) under metagenome. RNAcentral's name for it is "bacterial SSU rRNA". It matches the Rfam family "Bacterial small subunit ribosomal RNA". The record is from RNAcentral.
AGAGUUUGAUCCUGGCUCAGGAUGAACGCUGGCGGUGUGCUUAACACAUGCAAGUCGUACGGUCUUUCCUAGUUGAAGCUUCGGCCGAUUCUAGGAAUAGAUAGUGGCGGACUGGUGAGUAACACAUGGGCAACCUGCCCCUCGGAUCGGGAUAACAGUCCGAAAGGACUGCUAAUACCGGCUAUUCUCAUUUGAUCGCAUGGUUAGAUGAGGAAAGAUGGCCUCUAUUUAUAAGCUAUCACCGGGGGAGGGGCCUGUGGCUCAUUAGCUAGUUGGUAGGGUAACGGCCUACCAAGGCUACGAUGGGUAGCUGGUUUGAGAGGACGACCAGCCACAUUGGGACUGAGAUACGGCCCAGACUCCUACGGGAGGCAGCAGUGAGGAAUUUUCCGCAAUGGACGAAAGUCUGACGGAGCGACACCGCGUGGGUGAUGAAGGUCUUCGGAUCGUAAAGCCCUGUCGGGGGGGAAGAAACCCUACCUUGCGAAUAGUUAGGUAGAUUGACGGUACCCCCUAAGGAAGCACCGGCUAACUACGUGCCAGCAGCCGCGGUAAUACGUAGGGUGCAAGCGUUAUCCGGAAUCACUGGGCGUAAAGAGCUCGUAGGUGGUCUUGUAAGUCGCAUGUUAAAGCCCCAGGCUUAACUUGGGAAAUGCGUGCGAUACUGCUAGGCUAGAGGAUGGGAGAGGAAAGCGGAAUUCCAGGUGUAGCGGUGAAAUGCAUAGAUAUCUGGAAGAACACCGGUGGCGAAGGCGGCUUUCUGGACCAUUUCUGACACUGAGGAGCGAAAGCUAGGGUAGAGAACGGGAUUAGAUACCCCGGUAUUCCUAGCUGUAAACGAUGGGUACUAGGUGUGGGAGGUAUCGACCCCUUCCGUGCCGCAGCUAACGCAUUAAGUACCCCGCCUGGGAAGUACGGCCGCAAGGUUAAAACUCAAAGGAAUUGACGGGGGCCCGCACAAGCGGUGGAGCAUGUGGUUUAAUUCGACGCAACGCGAAGAACCUUACCUAGGCUUGACAUCUGGUGAAUCUGGUGGAAACAUUGGAGUGCCUUUCGGGGAACCCCAAGACAGGUGCUGCAUGGCUGUCGUCAGCUCGUGCCGUGAGGUGUUGGAUUAAGUUCCGCAACGAGCGCAACCCUUAUCCUUAUUUGCCAUCAUUCAGUUGGGGACUAUAAGGAGACUGCCAAUUUAUAAUUGGAGGAAGGUGGGGAUGACGUCAAGUCAGCAUGGCCUUUAUGCCUAGGGCUACACACGUGCUACAAUGGCCGGUACAGCGGGUUGCAACACCGCGAGGUGAAGCGAAUCCCUUAAAGCCGGUCUCAUUUCGGAUUGGAGUCUGCAAUUCGACUCCAUGAAGUUGGAAUCGCUAGUAACCGCGGAUCAGCAUGCCGUGGUGAAUACGUUCUCGGGCCUUGUACACACCGCCCGUCACACCAUCCGAGACGGGGGCACCCGAAGUCGCUGACC